This 925-nucleotide ribosomal RNA is filed under the name uncultured bacterium. RNAcentral's name for it is "bacterial SSU rRNA". It matches the Rfam family "Bacterial small subunit ribosomal RNA", at positions 56 to 975 of the family's 1533-position model. The record is from RNAcentral.
UGCAAAGUCGAGCGGUAGAGUGACUUCGGUUGCUUGAGAGCGGCGCACGGGUGAGUAACGCGUACAUGACCUACCUUUAAGACUGGGAUAGCCCUGGGAAACUGGGAUUAAUACCGGAUGUGAUAAUACGUAUAGAGAUGUAUUAUUAAAGUUGAGGCGCUUAGAGAUGGAUGUGCGUCUGAUUAGCUAGUUGGUAGGGUAACGGCCUACCAAGGCUACGAUCAGUAGGGGGCGUGAGAGCGUGGCCCCCCACACGGGUACUGAGACACGGACCCGACUCCUACGGGAGGCAGCAGUAAGGAAUAUUGGUCAAUGGACGGAAGUCUGAACCAGCCAUCCCGCGUGCAGGAUGACUGCCCUAUGGGUUGUAAACUGCUUUUAGCAGAGACGAAACGCCUUCAUUUAUGAGGGUCUGACGGUAUCUGCAGAAUAAGCACCGGCUAACUCCGUGCCAGCAGCCGCGGUAAUACGGAGGGUGCAAGCGUUAUCCGGAAUCACUGGGUUUAAAGGGUGCGUAGGCGGAUAUUUAAGUCAGUGGUGAAAUCUUGUCGCUUAACGAUAAAAUUGCCAUUGAUACUGAAUGUCUUGAAUUGGGUUGAGGUUAGCGGAAUGUGACAUGUAGCGGUGAAAUGCAUAGAUAUGUCAUAGAACACCGAUUGCGAAGGCAGCUAACGAAACUAUAACUGACGCUGAGGCACGAAAGUGCGGGGAUCAAACAGGAUUAGAUACCCUGGUAGUCCGCACCGUAAACGAUGAUUACUCGUCGUUGGCGAUAUGACAGUCAGCGACCAAGCGAAAAGCGAUAAGUAAUCCACCCUGGGGAGUACGCCGGCAACGGUUGAAACUCAAAGGAAUUGACGGGGGGGCCCGCACAAGCGGAGGAGCAUGUGGGUUUAAUUUCGAUGAUACGCGAGGAAACCUUACC